RNAcentral lists this ribosomal RNA (422 nucleotides) under uncultured bacterium. RNAcentral describes it as "partial 16S ribosomal RNA". It matches the Rfam family "Bacterial small subunit ribosomal RNA", at positions 360 to 774 of the family's 1533-position model. The record is from RNAcentral.
AAUAUUGGACAAUGGGGGCAACCCUGAUCUAGUCAUGUCGCGUGUGUGAAGAACGUCUUCGGAUUGUAAAGCACUUUAUGUUGGGAGGAAGUGUUGUAGGUUCAUAUCCUGAAUUUUUGACGUUACCAACAGAAUAAUCAGCGGCUAACUUCGUGCCAGCAGCCGCGGUAAUACGAAGGCUCCAAGCGUUAAUCGGAAUUCCUGGGCGUAAAGCGCGCGUAGGUGGUUCAGUAAGAUGGGUGUGAAAUCCCCGGGCUUAACCUGGGAACUGCUUUCAUAACUGCUGAGCUAGAGUACGGUAGAGGGUAGUGGAAUUUCCUGUGUAGCGGUGAAAUGCGUAGAUAUAGGAAGGAACACCAGUGGCGAAGGCGACUACCUGGACUGAUACUGACACUGAGGUGCGAAAGCGUGGGGAGCAAACA